CAUUGAAGGGCAAUCUCAUUUAUUCAGAGCAUCAUUUAUUUUCCAGGAGCGAUGCGGUUUUCCAGGCUGAAGAUUUCAAGGCUGUCUUCCUUUGUGAACGCUCUCCCGUGUCCGAUGGUAGAGUUGCACCCCGGGACAUUGGCAGUAGAAGUGCUUUUUCCAAUCAUGCAAUGAGCAGAUAGAAACAAUCUCAUGUGAAAAUGCCUCCUAGAUCACAGGUCCACUUCUACUCCAAAUAUAGAGUAGCUACAAGUCCAGUAAAGGCCCAGCUGGGCAGCCUUGAUACUUGAUCUCCAUCCAUAGCAGCUCUUGAAGGACCCCGGAUGAGAUGAAGAGGUGACUUGUCAGGCAGCAGGACACUGGUGAAUCAGACCCAGUCGCUGAGGGUGAGCCGGGAGCUGAUUAUACAUGGGUAACAACACUUAAUGCUGAUGUCUAGCAGGCACUUUCAAGAAACAGUAUCAUACUCUCCGCUAACGGAAUAACCUUUGUGCCAAGACAGGAAGGAGGUUUGACCUGGGGCUUUGCAGGUGAAUUACUGAGAACGCCUCUGCCCCUUUGCAAAAGGGAGAAGUUCAGGGACAGGUAACACGUGCCUCACUCCACACCUGGCUUGCUUUCCCCUUGCCAGCUCCAUCGAACUGGACGACUGGCUGGCUUUUUCAUGAUGAACAGCAUCAGCGUGACAGCCCCCCUCCAGGAUGGCAGCAGCGAGAUGAAUGGGGUGCAGUGGUGAACCCAGCAGGUGUGCAGAUUCCCAGAGGCAGCAGAGCCUGGCAAUCAAGAAUAAAAUACAAUAAAAUAAACCCAGUCCCCUUGGCUUGUCACAGUCUGGGGAGCAGCGCGGCGUAGGCUGCGAAGCAGCUGCUUUAGCUAAUCGAAACAAUUAGUGGAAAAUCUCCUUACACCAUGCUGAACUCCGCACAAAGCAGCAGAAGGUGUCGGAUCGGUGGGUGGAUUUUACAUACGGGAUACCCCAAGAGUUAAUCACUCAUUUUACAAAUUGCUGAUAUAAAUUGCUGUUAAUUAGCUCUGUAAAUGCUUAUUGUGCUUGCUAAAUUAGAACCUGCUGGAAGGGC
Molecule: long non-coding RNA, 1079 nt
Organism: Alligator mississippiensis (American alligator)
Lineage: Eukaryota; Metazoa; Chordata; Crocodylia; Alligatoridae
Exons: 2
Source: RefSeq, a predicted model, not a curated record